RNAcentral lists this transfer RNA (67 nucleotides) under Aphrodita australis. RNAcentral describes it as "tRNA-Lys". Lineage: Eukaryota; Metazoa; Annelida; Polychaeta; Phyllodocida; Aphroditidae. The record is from RNAcentral.
GAUUAAGGAGCUGUACCCUUCUUAGCUCUAGCCUUUUAAGCUAGCCAAAAUGUAAAAUUCUUAAUCA